This 488-nucleotide ribosomal RNA is filed under the name uncultured bacterium. Its description in RNAcentral is "bacterial SSU rRNA". It matches the Rfam family "Bacterial small subunit ribosomal RNA", at positions 19 to 518 of the family's 1533-position model. The record is from RNAcentral.
AUGGCUCAGGACGAACGCUGGCGGCGUGCCUAACACAUGCAAGUCGAACGGACUGAUUCCCUUCGGGGAUGAAAGUUAGUGGCGGACGGGUGAGUAACGCGUGAGCAACCUGCCUUCAGAGGGGGAUAACGUUCGGAAACGAACGCUAAUACCGCAUAACAUAUGGAAGUCGCAUGGCUAUCAUAUCAAAGGAGCAAUCCGCUGAAAGAUGGGCUCGCGUCUGAUUAGAUAGUUGGUGGGGUAACGGCCUACCAAGUCGACGAUCAGUAGCCGGACUGAGAGGUUGAUCGGCCACAUUGGGACUGAGACACGGCCCAGACUCCUGCGGGAGGCAGCAGUGGGGGAUAUUGCACAAUGGGCGCAAGCCUGAUGCAAGCAACGCCGCGUGAGUGAUGAAGGUCUUCGGAUUGUAAAACUCUGUCCUUGGUGACGAAACAAAUGACGGUAGCCGAGGAGGAAGCCACGGCUAACUACGUGCCAGCCGCGGC